Molecule: ribosomal RNA, 547 nt
Filed under: uncultured bacterium
Lineage: Bacteria
Description: bacterial SSU rRNA
Rfam family: Bacterial small subunit ribosomal RNA
Source: RNAcentral
GAGUUUGAUCCUGGCUCAGGACGAACGCUGGCGGCGUGCCUAAUACAUGCAAGUCGAGCGCGGGAAGCAGGCAGACCUCCUUCGGGAGAGACGCUUGUGGAACGAGCGGCGGACGGGUGAGUAACACGUAGGCAACCUACCUGUAAGCCUGGGAUAACUCCGGGAAACCGGGGCUAAUACCGGAUAGGCACCGUUUGCGCAUGCGGAUGGUGUGAAAGGCGGGGCAACCUGCCGCUUACAGAUGGGCCUGCGGCGCAUUAGCUAGUUGGUGAGGUAACGGCUCACCAAGGCGACGAUGCGUAGCCGACCUGAGAGGGUGACCGGCCACACUGGGACUGAGACACGGCCCAGACUCCUACGGGAGGCAGCAGUAGGGAAUCUUCCGCAAUGGGCGAAAGCCUGACGGAGCAACGCCGCGUGAGCGAGGAAGGUCUUCGGAUCGUAAAGCUCUGUUGUGAGGGAAGAAAAGCUGCAGGAGUAACUGACUGCAGGUUGACGGUACCUCACGAGGAAGCCCCGGCUAACUACGUGCCAGCAGCCGCGGUAC